ACAUGCAAGUCGAGCGGACUUGCUGGAGCUUGCUCCAGCAGGUUAGCGGCGGACGGGUGAGUAACACGUGGGCAACCUGCCUGUAAGACUGGGAUAACUCCGGGAAACCGGAGCUAAUACCGGAUAGUAUCUUGAACCGCAUGGUUCAAGUUGGAAAGACGGUUUCGGCUGUCACUUACAGAUGGGCCCGCGGCGCAUUAGCUAGUUGGUGAGGUAAUGGCUCACCAAGGCAACGAUGCGUAGCCGACCUGAGAGGGUGAUCGGCCACACUGGGACUGAGACACGGCCCAGACUCCUACGGGAGGCAGCAGUAGGGAAUCUUCCGCAAUGGACGAAAGUCUGACGGAGCAACGCCGCGUGAGUGAUGAAGGUUUUCGGAUCGUAAAACUCUGUUGUUAGGGAAGAACAAGUGCGAGAGUAACUGCUCGCACCUUGACGGUACCUAACCAGAAAGCCACGGCUAACUACGUGCCAGCAGCCGCGGUAAUACGUAGGUGGCAAGCGUUGUCCGGAAUUAUUGGGCGUAAAGCGCGCGCAGGCGGUUUCUUAAGUCUGAUGUGAAAGCCCCCGGCUCAACCGGGGAGGGUCAUUGGAAACUGGGAAACUUGAGUGCAGAAGAGGAGAGUGGAAUUCCACGUGUAGCGGUGAAAUGCGUAGAGAUGUGGAGGAACACCAGUGGCGAAGGCGACUCUCUGGUCUGUAACUGACGCUGAGGCGCGAAAGCGUGGGGAGCGAACAGGAUUAGAUACC
This 750-nucleotide ribosomal RNA is filed under the name Bacillus sp. LKS-65. Its description in RNAcentral is "bacterial SSU rRNA". It matches the Rfam family "Bacterial small subunit ribosomal RNA", at positions 53 to 786 of the family's 1533-position model. The record is from RNAcentral. Lineage: Bacteria; Bacillati; Bacillota; Bacilli; Caryophanales; Bacillaceae.